RNAcentral lists this ribosomal RNA (454 nucleotides) under uncultured organism. RNAcentral's name for it is "partial 16S ribosomal RNA". It matches the Rfam family "Bacterial small subunit ribosomal RNA", at positions 330 to 800 of the family's 1533-position model. The record is from RNAcentral.
CGUACACUCCUGCGGGAGGCAGCAGUGGGGAAUAUUGGACAAUGGGCGCAAGCCUGAUCCAGCCAUGCCGCGUGAGUGAUGAAGGCCCUAGGGUUGUAAAGCUCUUUCACCGGUGAAGAUAAUGACGGUAACCGGAGAAGAAGCCCCGGCUAACUUCGUGCCAGCAGCCGCGGUAAUACGAAGGGGGCUAGCGUUGUUCGGAUUUACUGGGCGUAAAGCGCACGUAGGCGGACUAUUAAGUCAGGGGUGAAAUCCCGGGGCUCAACCCCGGAACUGCCUUUGAUACUGGUAGUCUUGAGUUCGAGAGAGGUGAGUGGAAUUCCGAGUGUAGAGGUGAAAUUCGUAGAUAUUCGGAGGAACACCAGUGGCGAAGGCGGCUCACUGGCUCGAUACUGACGCUGAGGUGCGAAAGCGUGGGGAGCAAACAGGAUUAGAUACCCCAGUAGUCCCAUGA